UUAUCGAUAGUCGUAGUAACUGAUAGUAUUUUAAAGCAGUCGCAAGUAUUUUCGCCACUACUUGACAUGGUUAUACUGUAAUAAUAUUGUAGCAAAAAGGAGGAAGAUAACACACUGCGAACUGUGCCACAUGCAUAAACUGACGAGUUUAGCAAGACUAAAAGCGGCAAUUAUGGACCUAUAAAGUUCACUUCGUGGCACUUUAUUAAGGAUGUACAUUUGUCAUCGGUUGCCGAAUUAAGUACAAAUUAAUAGCGAUAAAAAUACAGUGUUGAGGGAACCUCACCCCUCGCUUAGGACUAUUUGUAAAGGUAUAAGGAUACCUGCUUUAAGUUCGGCUGGCAAACUACAUUUCUUUGUGGAUAAAGUACAACCGUAUAUGUAUGUACAUAAGCAAUCCAAUGGUUGUCAAAGGAACAACAUAAUAUUGUUAUAAUAUUUAUUGUAUAUGUUGUAAUUUGUAUCCUUUGCAAAGAAGACUUUUCUGUUGUACGUUGAUUUUAGCCAGUGAGCCGAACUUAAAACAAGCGUUAAAACGCCCUAAAAUAAUAAUUCCAUAAUAGUAGUUAAUAAAAAAAAAACGUUCCGGGUUUUAAGCUAAA
Molecule: long non-coding RNA, 602 nt
Organism: Drosophila eugracilis
Lineage: Eukaryota; Metazoa; Arthropoda; Insecta; Diptera; Drosophilidae
Exons: 2
Source: RefSeq, a predicted model, not a curated record